GGGGGGAUUCAAGUGCUUAGAGAUCGAAGUCUGUCCUGGGUAGGGGGAGUCAGACAAUUGGAAAGCCUAGGUAGUUAUUUGGGGAGGGGUCUCUACGCCUUGGCGAAGCGCACAGCUGCAUCUUUUUGGCUUGAGGCCUGAGGCCUUGUCGAGAAGCUUCCGUGAAAGGGUGGGCCAGCCGGGCCACGAGAAAGAAAGUGAAUAAAUCAGGAAUAUAAGUGGGCGGGGGGCCCCUGAGAGGGGGGUCGCAAAGGGUGAGACAUGGCCACCAGGCGUUUAACCGACGCUUUCUUGUUGUUGCGGAAUAAUUCCAUCCAAAAUCGGCAGCUGUUAGCCGAGCAAGUGAGUAGUCACACCACCUCCAGCCCUCUGCAUUCACGUAGCAUUGCUGCGCUUGCUGAUGACCGUAUGGCACUGGUGUCAGGCAUCAGCUUAGAUCCAGAAGCAGCGAUUGGUGUGACAAAACGGCCACCUCCUAAGUGGGUGGAUGGAGUGGAUGAAAUUCAGUAUGAUGUUGGCCGGAUUAAGCAGAAGAUGAAAGAAUUGGCCAGCCUUCAUGACAAGCAUUUAAACAGACCCACCCUGGAUGACAGCAGCGAAGAGGAACAUGCCAUUGAGAUAACUACCCAAGAGAUCACUCAGGCAUGAAGAAUCGAGAGGAAAGAUCCCAGCAUUUUUUCGACACAUCAGUACCACUAAUGGAUGAUGGAGACGAUAACACUCUUUACCAUCGGGGUACAGUCCUUGACAGAAUUGACUAUAACGUUGAACAGUCCUGUAUCAAAACUGAAGAUGGUUUGAAACAGCUUCACAAG
This 815-nucleotide small RNA is filed under the name Pan troglodytes (chimpanzee). Its description in RNAcentral is "processed transcript". The record is from RNAcentral. Lineage: Eukaryota; Metazoa; Chordata; Mammalia; Primates; Hominidae.